AGCAGCCGCGGUAAUUCCAGCUCCAAUAGCGUAUAUUAAAGUUGUUGCAGUUAAAAAGCUCGUAGUUGAAUUUCGGGAUCAAUACGUCUGUCGUGCCUUUGGUACGUACGGGUGUAAUUGGUUUCUACCUUCUGAGGAUCCUUGAUGUCAUUAAUUUGGUGUCUUGGGGAAUCAGGACUGUUACCUUGAAAAAAUUGAGUGUUUAAAGCAGGCAUACGCUUGAAUACAUUAGCAUGGAAUAAUGAAAUAGGACGUUCGAUUCUAUUUUGUUGGUUUCUAGGAUCGACGUAAUGAUUAAUAGGGAUAGUUGGGGGCAUUAGUAUUCAAUUGUCAGAGGUGAAAUUCUUGGAUUUAUUGAAGACUAACUACUGCGAAAGCAUUUGCCAAGGAUGUUUUCAUUAUCAAGAACGAAAGUUAGGGAUCGAAGACGAUCAGAUACCGUCGUAGUCUUAACCAUAAACUAUGACCGACUAGGGAUCGGAUGGAUGUUUAAUUUUUAUGUACUUCAUUCGGCNCCUUA
RNAcentral lists this ribosomal RNA (520 nucleotides) under uncultured Glomus. Its description in RNAcentral is "SSU rRNA". It matches the Rfam family "Eukaryotic small subunit ribosomal RNA", at positions 569 to 1090 of the family's 1831-position model. The record is from RNAcentral. Lineage: Eukaryota; Fungi; Glomeromycota; Glomeromycetes; Glomerales; Glomeraceae.